Homo sapiens (human) is the source of this 671-nucleotide long non-coding RNA. Lineage: Eukaryota; Metazoa; Chordata; Mammalia; Primates; Hominidae. The record is from Ensembl.
GGGCAGAGGGUCAUGUAGUGGAAUAGAGCUGUACCUGGCUUCAGGCGAGACUUGGAAGUGCCUUUCGCCUCCCGCCAUGAUUCUGAGGCCUCCCCAGCCAUGUGGAACUAUUCUUGUGCUGUCACUCAGGCUGGAGUGCAACGUUGAAAUCUCGGCUCACUGCAACUUCUGCCUCCCGGAUUCAGGCAAUUCUUGUGUCUCAGCCUCCUAAGAAGCUGAGAUUACAGCAACUCCAAAAUGGAAGUACUAUUGUUAUCUCCGUUUACAAAUUAGGAAACUGAGGCACAGAUAUGCUCUUGGGUACUUGUCAGCAGCAGUUGUUCUACAAAUGAGCGUCUUAGCCUCUGGAUUACUGCUCAAUGAGGAAAGCUAUGAAAUGCAUGGAUAACUUGCUAAUCAGUAUUUGCCAUAUGUGCUAGCAGCAUCAGCAUCAGUUGGGAGAUUAUGGUGGCCUCCAUGUCAGACCUCCUAAAUCGGAAUAUCAGAGAAGGUGGCCCAGGUUACCAUGCUUCAUCUGCCAAUGCAUUGAAAACUUGGAAUGUAAAUUAAUUCAACCAUUGUGGAAGAUGGUGUAGUGAUUCCUCAAAGACCUAGAAGCAGAAAUAUCAUUUGAUCCAGAAAUCCCAUUACUGUGUAUACACCCAAAGGAAUAUAAACCAUUCUAUUACAAA